GUAGCUUCCUGUCUGAUUAGACUUUAUUUCUGUAUUGGAAACAAAUGUGCUGACUGAGACGUGGGUGCAGGGAGUGUGAGGGCUGCUUGUGCUGAGAGGGGAUGGCCAAAACAUCCAGCAAGGAAGAUGAGCUUCAUGAUUCAGGGAGAGGAAGAAGUACUCCAGGGUUGGAAGAACCUUAAAGAGGCACGAUCAGAUUUGCCCACAUUCCUGAAUAAGGGAGAUGCCUAUUUCAACAAUAGUACCUACCAGGGUUAAUACAGACCAAGAAGCCUACUUGUUGCAGGUAAGUUAAAGUAGCUGGUAUUUUGAAAUGACAUUUGGUUCCCACAAGUGUUCUCUCAGUAGUCCACUGUUUGGAGGUUCUUGCAGAAGUAUCUCCAACAUGAUGAUCAUGGGGUCACAUGAGAAGUACUAAACACCGCUGAUGAUGUUCCUGUGUAUUUUUCAGCUUUGAAGGAGGUGACACUUGGAUAAACCCUGGAGAAAAAAAUAAAGAAAAGACUGAAUGAAACCUAGAGGCAAAAGCUAUGGACAAAUGGGUGAAAUAAACAAGCAAUUUUCUUUUUGUUGUUCCUGAAGCCCACUACAUUAGCUCUGGCAGCAUUACCAGAUUUUAAGUCACACUGACCAAAUCAAAUAGGAAAAUCAGAUCGUGAUGAGCCGGACUGGCAUUAUUUCUAAUUUCUUUUAUAAUUUCCUUUGUGGGUCAUGAAUAAUUUAGAACCAUAUAUUUCUUUCCAUUUCUGAACACACAAAAGUAUUUUUGUUUUUUUCUUUUUCUUUGAAAUUGAGUUCUCAUUGCAUUUUGUUGGAGAAUAUAGUCUGCAUGUUUUAUCAAUCAAUUCCUUAAUAUUUAUUGACAUGCCCUUUAUGGUCUGGUAUGUGCUCAGUUUUUGAAAAUAUUCCCUGGAAAAUUGAAAAGAAUUCAGAUUAUUUAAGAGUUGACAUAAAGUUCUAAAUAUGUGAAUUUGACCAAAUGUCUUAAUCAUGCUGUUUAAUUCAGCAACAUCAUUAAUUUUUUGAUCACUUGAUCAAUCAGUCUGUAAUAAUUAAGUAUUAAAAAUUACACUCUAAGAAAUUCAAUUUACCAUAAUUUUAUUGACCUUUACUUUAUAUGAGUAGUUGCUUUUGAAGGUCAAAAAGUGGUCAACUAUUGGCAAUUUCUUAAGGUUUGAUCUAAUAUUUUGGAGCUAUGUUGCUGAUGUUUGUUGGUUCAGGUUUGUAAUAGUUUUCUGACAUAUUGUGUGAUAAGGUUUUUACUUUAAAAUCUAUUUCAUCUGCCAAUUUAUAUGGUUAGAGCAUCUUUAUUUUGAUCAGUAUUUUGAAAAUAUAAUCCACGUAUCUUUCUUCUGAUUAAAUUCUAUUUGGACUAAUGUCUGGCAUAUUAUUAUUAUUUUUUCUAUUUACUAUGA
RNAcentral lists this long non-coding RNA (1415 nucleotides) under Rhinopithecus bieti (black snub-nosed monkey). Its description in RNAcentral is "lncRNA (ENSRBIG00000045269.1)". Lineage: Eukaryota; Metazoa; Chordata; Mammalia; Primates; Cercopithecidae. The record is from RNAcentral.